Molecule: small nuclear RNA, 163 nt
Organism: Pteronotus mesoamericanus
Lineage: Eukaryota; Metazoa; Chordata; Mammalia; Chiroptera; Mormoopidae
Product: U1 spliceosomal RNA
Exons: 1
Source: RefSeq, a predicted model, not a curated record
UCAAAUACCUGGCAGGGGAGAUACCAUGAUCACGAAGGUGUUUUCCCAGGGCCAGGCUUAUCCCCUGCACUUUGGACAUGUUGGUCCCUGCAAUUUCCCCAAAUGUGGGCAACCCAUCUGCAUCAUUUGUGGUAGUGUUGGACUGUGUUCUCACUUUCUCCUG